RNAcentral lists this ribosomal RNA (234 nucleotides) under Amblyomma inornatum. RNAcentral's name for it is "partial large subunit ribosomal RNA". Lineage: Eukaryota; Metazoa; Arthropoda; Arachnida; Ixodida; Ixodidae. The record is from RNAcentral.
GGUAUUGUAAUAAGACUUUAAUUGAGUGCUAAGAGAAUGGAAAUACAGGAAUUGACUUUUUUAAUCUUAAUUAUUGAAGUUAUUUUUAUUUGUGAAGAAACAAUAAUUUAAAUUAAGGACAAGAAGACCCUAAGAAUUUUAUAAAAUUAAUAAUUUAACCUAAAUUGUUAAUUUUUUUAAUUGGGGCGAUUAAUUAAAACUACGAACUUUUUAAAAAAUUAAAAAGAACCAUUA